Small nucleolar RNA from Drosophila hydei, 130 nucleotides. RefSeq annotates it as small nucleolar RNA psi28S-3316. The record is from RefSeq and is a predicted model, not a curated record. Lineage: Eukaryota; Metazoa; Arthropoda; Insecta; Diptera; Drosophilidae. The transcript has a single exon.
UGCACCCAAAAGCGUUUUCUUGUACGCCAAUUCAAUGCGCUUGAAAAUCGUUAGUGUGUGCUAGAUCAAAGCACAGUUGCAAGUGACUUUUUGUAGUUUAUUAAAAGAGUCCAUAACGCUGAGCACAUUU